Taeniopygia guttata (zebra finch) is the source of this 6145-nucleotide long non-coding RNA. The record is from Ensembl. Lineage: Eukaryota; Metazoa; Chordata; Aves; Passeriformes; Estrildidae.
UGGCUCCAGAGGGCUGCUCUGCCUCUACUCCUGACAUGUGCUUGAAGUCCUUGAGCUUCUGUUCCCACCUAUGGAGUUGUGCAGGAAGCAGGAGAAGAUUGAUCCUGAGAAACUGAGGGUACCUUUUCAGGCUCUUCACACGCAUGGAGCCAGGAAAUGAUUCAGAUCACCUUGAAAGAACUGCUUAACAGGAAAGAAGAUGUGAGGCAAGUUCCAGCAAAUUUGUGUGACUAAGAACAGCACAGGUAAAACUAGUCACAUGCUGACACAGUUUCCAGUGGCCCAGAAAAACAACCAUCUGAGUAAAACCAGUACUGAGGAGCCAGUGUCCUUAUGCUUCAGCAACGCUGCUGCCAAGGCUGCAACCUCUAACACAGACACACAGAAUAAAGCUCAAAGCAGUAAUGCCUCAAGCUGCUUUACCACAAACCACCUUUAUCCUUUUAUUAACUCCUGAUGUUGUAUUCCAACAGAAUAUACUGUUGGGAUGCUCUGGAGCUCAUUCAGGACGUUCACACAGGCCCUUUGCUACAUGACAUUCCCUCCUAAGACCCAGAGAGCGCAGUGGAGGUAUUGCUUAGACAAGAUCAGAGAUCUUUACCCUGUCACAGAAAAAUACUCUUCUACAAACAGUUUCUAUGUUCAAACCUUGAACUCAAGUAAAGAAACAGUACAACAGGUUGCAAGAAGUAAUCAUAUAAAUUAAAUUUAGAUGGCUUGUGAUCAGAUAAGCAUAUCAAAACAUUACAUUUCCUUCAGAAUUACAGUUCUCCAUCUUCUUGUAAAAGCUGAGGACACUGCUGGUGUCGGGGAGCUCCAGCUGCUGUGCCAUAGCAUUGCUUGGAAACUUCCAACCGGUUCCUGCACCAAGAGGCUGAGCAGCUGCUUCUGCUGGAUGCUGACUCUGGAGCCCCACUGUGCUCGGGCCACCAGGAACAUUUACCCCCCAAAGGGGCAUCAGGGCACCGGCCAGGCUGGAGGAACAGCUCCAUUUCCCGUUGGGAUCAAUCAGCUGGUCGCCACUCGAGGGCAGCAUUUCGGCAAAAUAAAAAAGACAUAGGAACAAAAAUGAAGGACACCAAACUGCCGGACCGCGUUAGCUCGCCAUGAGGAUUUACUUGCAGGCUGAUCUCCAAGCUUUCUGUAGCUAUUUAAACAGGGAGGCAAUAUGAGCAGAGAACUGAAGUGCAGUCAGUGAAGGAAUAUGAGGUCAAUACCAGAGAAAUCUGAGCAGAGACUGUAGAGGCACGUUAAUUUACAUAUGGCUUAGCUACCUAAAGGAACAGCGGAUGCACCGACACCCCAGUCUCCCACCCUCCUCCUACGGAAACAUUUUAUCCAAGGAAGGGAAAAAGUUUUCACUCAGAGCAGCCAACUCUCUUUGACCAGAUCUGAGAAAGUUCUCAUACAAUAGUGACUUUAAAAGCUGAGGAGCAGCACCCAGUAACAGUCAGGAUACAAAACAAUGACCCACUUGGACCACCAUCACCUUUUCACUUCCAAUAAUGCCAAGGCACUUCUAAGGCCGCUGCCAAAGCGAGAAGCCUGUAAAAAAAGGCAUGAAUGCUGCUGGUUUAGUGCUCUACUUGCACCAGCUAAAAAUAGUCACAGGCCAAAAACAUGCUCCAGUUUUGGACACUGAAUGACAACAUGGGAUACGAGGCCAAUUAGGUCAAAUUAAAAUAUACCAACAGAAAGAAAAUAAACACUGGUAAACUUUGUCUGGAAGGCAAAGAGAGAUCUUGGAAGAGAAACUUGCUACACAGCUUCAUAUGCACUCAUGUAAUUGUUUUGCCUUCUUAUUCCAGAUAAGUAUUCCUUCAUCCUGGGGCAGGCUGCUCUCAGAGGAGUGUCACAAGGGCCACCACCUUCAGGCCUGGGGUGCUGUAGUCUGAGGCAUCCUCUGCACUCAAUAAAUACAGGUGAUUUCAGAAGUGACUCACAGCACAUCAAUGAAGCUGCCAUUAAUAUCCAUGUUACAUCCAGAUUUACUGUGUUUGUUGUUUUUUAAUCAAAAGAGGCUAAAAGUAGGGGUUAAUUGCACUGAAUUUGAAUGCAGCAGGAAAAGGAAGACUCUAUUGUUCACUCAGCACCAGCAGGCUCAGCAGUGAUGGCAGAGUGGGACCAUGGUGAGGAUCCUGCGUAUCCAGCUGUACCUGUGCUGUAGGUGCAUGUGAACAGAGGAGGCUUAUGGGAAGCAGCUGUUGGCAUGGACAGCUCAGGUGCUGUGAAUAGAAACAUACAGAAGCUAAAUUAAAAACAAGUUGAAACUCAGAAGUAUUCUGCAAUGGCUAAUUGGCAAUUUGACAUUCAUUUCACUCCAGAAACGGAAAUCAAAUAUCCCAUCAUGAGGUCCAAUGAUAAUGGAAUGACUCAGAAGGUUCACGGUUCUUCACACACACUUACCUCCAUGUUUUCAGCACUAUUUUUGCCCUCCUCCCCUUCCAAAAUGAGCAUGAUGUGCUGCUGCCAUCCUGCAGCAGGGUUUACACGGACAGCAACAGAUUAGUAACAUAAGGCAAUUCCCCCAGCAAAUCUCUGAGGCAGCUCAGGAGGAAAAAGGUGCAUUGGCAAUGUCUGCUGUCACUAAUGUGCUACCCAGUGCAAAAGGAAAUGUGCUACUGAGGCAUUGUGAAGUUAGUCAACAUCAGGCCAUCUGCUACACAUAAUCUCAGGUUGCAUGUCAUCAGCCAGGCAUGAAUGUAAAGAAGGCUCUAGCCUGACAUUUUAGUUCUAAAUUGAGUACAUUUAAUCCAGCAGCCACUGAAGGACAGCAGACACUGUCCUAGGGUACCUUCCUAACAAUUGCUUCCUAAUGUAGAACAGUGAUUUAUGUAGUUUAUGAUUUUAAAGGAUAUAUAUAAUGAUGAUGUGCCAAAUGUUUCCCCUUCUGUACUGUUGGCUUCACUGCCUGAUAACUUAUUAACCAGAAAAAGCGGUAAACAAUUUGAUUUCAAGUAUUUUAUGACUUCAAGGAAAAAGUUGGUAAACCAUAAAAAGGGUAUAAACAAAAUAUGAGCAAAAAGAAAGCCUGAAGGCUGGAGACUGUCCCUGAAGAGCCAGUAGAGAGCUUGUCCCACACUCCUCCAAAGCACUGGCAGCAGAAGCUCCCUGCCUGCCAAGUCCCUCACGCUGUACUGAGAGCUGCCUGCUGGCCCCAUGUCCCAAGGGCUGGUACAGCCAUGGGUGGUGUCCUCUUAGACUGAGAUGUGCAGAACAUGGGGAUUCCAUCCUACAUAUUCAGUCAACCUAUUUCCAGUGAAAACAACUAUGAAAUUUCCAAGAACUGCCUGUCCUUUCAACAUGCACAGGUAAAAAGCAAAUAUCAGUCAAAAGAUGUAGUUAAGAAGGAGAGGCUGAGCAGUAUCAUAAUUUUUCAGGAGGUCACACCAAAAACCACACAGCUGGAGUGUGGUAGUAGCUCUCGGGCUACAGAGAGGAACAACUUUCCCAGGUAUUGUCCUGGGGAAAAGUCUGUGAGAAGAUCAGAGAAAAGAAUGAGAAACAAUUCUUAUCUUCACUUGCUGCACCUAUUGUUGUGAACAUGUGGAACAUGUUAUAGAGAUUUGUUUACCAAAGGGUGGUUUCUUGAUUAGCCAAUGGUGAUGGUGUUUGGAUUGGAGGAUCAAUUAGGUCCGGGUGUAUCAUAACUGUCUAUAAAAAGCAAUGGGUUUCUUAAUUACAGAAUAGAAUGAAGAUUAUUGCUCAGUCUUCUGAGAAUCAUGGAGUGAAUGCUAAUUAUUACCAGUUUGGGGAUGCCCUAUUGGAGGAAACAGAAUAUAUCUGUGCCAGCAGAAGCCAUGGGACCCAAAUUGGUUUCAUCCUUUCCUGUGCAAGAUUGCUCCUACCAGAAUGGGACUUGCAAUGCUCACAUUGCUAAGCAGCAGGUGAUGGACUAGUAAAGCUGGAGGCAAUGAAGAAUGAAUAAUCAUGCACCACAGUCCAGCUUAGAAAAAUAUUCAGACUCUGCAAAUAGUAAGGAAAGGGAAUUAAUAAAACUUCACUAGAACUUUAUACAAAGCCAAAAAAGCUCAAAGAAUGCAAACCCAUUGCAUAUGAUAUUGCAAUAUUGUCUUCUACCUUAAUACAGAAACCCACAGUAACCCCUGCUAAGAACAUUAAAUAUUAAUAAUGGCUCCCAGCUGCUGCUACAUAAUGGGCUUAUUUUGGUGAGGAAGAUGUCCACAUCUUAAGAUCAGAUGAUCCUACCCUCCUUUUGAAAUUCAUGCAAGACCCUCUCUCCUUGCUGCAAUUAAUUGAAGAACCCAGGGCUAUUAUUCUUAAAAGGCAGGAUUUGUCUCUGAUCUUUGUCCUACAUUACAUUUUUUUUUUCUCAGAGGUUACAACACAAGCAGAGGUGGAUGGUUUAGCUUGAUUACCAGAGGGCAGCCUUCUUUUCCUCUGUACUGUCCUAAUUAGUGCAAAUCUGCCCACACAAAUAGCCCACAAGGAUAGGGUUUUUCAUUGUUCUCUGUCCUACAUCAGUGAAACUAUUAUACGUGGUAAUGUUCCUGGCUUGCAUCAUCACAAACAUCAAAGCUAGGAAAUGCUCAGUUUCCAUUUAUCCUUUACUAAGCAAGCUUGAGCUUCUUUACUGGCAAAGCAGGUAAUGAAUAGCUGACCACUAACAGAGUGAUUAAUUAGCCAGAAGGCAUUCUCUUCCCUACUUACUUUGCCAUUAAAUUAUAUGGCCACCAUAACUAGACUGAGCUGAUACUGAUCUCUGUUUUAGAAGAUUGCUGACUGUAGUCUGCUGACCCAUAUAAUAUUUUUAAAAAAUCAUGAUCACUGUGCACUUACUGAUCUAGAUAUGAAUGGUUCUCAAUAAUGAAAUGGCAGCUAGAUAUUCAAUACUCACUGGAAGCAACACAGACUUAAAUACAGUUGGUUAUUUAGAAGAUUCAUCAUGAAGCAUUACUAAAAAGAAAACCCUCAUCCUCAGAAAUUCAGAAGCACAGAAGAGGCAGUAAGUUCCUAGACUAAAUGAUUCACUAGAGCUACCAUUAACUACUACUGCAUCAGUAAAUAUUAAAAUAGAUCUUUUCUGGCUUUAGCCAAUUCCUGUCCAAAGAUUUUAUGUAAGAAUGGAAAAUUGGUAUUAUCUAGGUCUGAACAUGCCCCUGAGGAAAAAAAAAAUUGCAGAGAGAUACUGAAUCUUUUUCAGACUCAGCUCUAAGUAAGCCUUAGGUUGGAAGACACUGCACUCAUCUUGGCUGAACUCUAUGAAAUUAAACCUUUCACUUCUAAAAGUGUUUCUAGCUGCUAUAGUUGCAGCAAUAACCUCCCAAAGGUGAAAUGAGUAGCAGAUGUAGCAAUAUCUGCAGCCACCCUUGGGACAAUGACUCUGAGGAGUGAGCUCCUCUGUCCCAUGUUAGUCUGAUGAGUGCUGAGUCCAAUCCUCAGAUUUGUGACUUAAGUGAGCAGGAAAUGGGUUUGGAGAAGUACAGCUCCUUGAAACCGGGAGCUGCUGUGGGGAGAGAUCACAGGUGCAGCAACAAGGAAACAGCAAAGACAAGAGAACAAGGGGAGAGGAAGUGGAGUCAGUAGUGCCAUGAGGCUCCCUGAACAGAGAAGGUCAUGAUCAGACAGUAAAUUCAAACCCAUUGCCAUGUAGCCCCUGCCCAGCAGCAAAUAGCAAUGGUGAGCUGCUGAUUCAGAUAUCAGGAGGGGGAACUGCAGAGCUGAGAAUCCCAAGGCUACAGCGGGGACUCUUUCUGUCCUGACACUGAAGGGGCACACCUUGAGGCGAAGGUAACCCUUCCCUCUUCCUGCCUGAUAGAGGAUCUCCACUUGUCUGGGGUCAGACACAAUUUUUAAAUUGAAGUGUCAUUAGCAAGACACUUCUAGUUUCUUCUGUAACUUUGAAUGCAAAUUGGAAGAUACAGGUAAAAAUAGGUUGCCUAAAUGAAGAUCUUGCUCAAAUUUCUAACUCAAUUUUUGGUUUAGAGGGUAUUCACUUCAUGUAGAAAAAGAAGCAGUCAGCUAAUCAGAUCAAGUAUCUUGGCAACAUCCCAGAUGCAAAAGUUCCUCUGGCUAUAAUAUGAUUUUGAGAUAAGCAACAAACAUUUACACACAUUGCUGACACAAAUAAAGGACAAUCCAGCAAGUCCAGAAAAAAAAAACCUCAUCUAUCCUUGAAAAGGUU